RNAcentral lists this ribosomal RNA (2050 nucleotides) under human gut metagenome. Its description in RNAcentral is "bacterial LSU rRNA". It matches the Rfam family "Bacterial large subunit ribosomal RNA", at positions 1 to 1978 of the family's 2925-position model. The record is from RNAcentral.
UAAAGCUACAAAGAGCUAAUGGGGAAUGCCUUGGUACUGACAGCCGACGAAGGACGUGUAAAGCUGCGAUAAGCCACGGGGAACUGCUAAAAGGUCUUGAUCCGUGGAAAUCCGAAUGGGGAAACCCUCCAGAGUUAAAACUUUGGAACCCGUAACUGAAUACAUAGGUUGCGCGGAGGAAAGCCUGUGAACUGAAACAUCUUAGUAACAGGACGAAGAGAAAAUAAACCAAUGAUUCCGAGAGUAGCGGCGAGCGAAAUUGGAAGAGCCUAAAUUGUGUGUACGUGAUAGCCUGCAAGCGUUGUGCACAUGAGGUUGUGGGACUUGCAUCAUAUUUUGCAGAAUAUGGAUUGAGUUAGAAAAUUAUUUAUUAGUUAAAGUCAACUGGGAAGUUGCGCCAUAGAGAGUGAUAGCCUCGUAAACGACAAUAAAUAAUCUCAAGUAAGUAUCCCGAGUAAGGCGGGGCACGUGAAACCCUGUCUGAAUCCACCGGGACCAUCCGGUAAGGCUAAAUACUAGUCAGUGACCGAUAGUGAACGAGUACAGUGAUGGAAAGGCGAAAAGAACAGUGAGAAGCUGAGUGAAAUAGACCCUGAAACCGUUAGCUUACAACCAGUCAGAGCACAAUUAAUUGUGUGAUGGCGUGCCUGUUGAAGAAUGAGCCGGCGAGUUAUUUUUUGUUGCGAGGUUAAGGAGAUCAUAUCCGGAGCCACAGGGAAACCGAGUCUGAAUAGGGCGUUAAGUAACAGGAAAUAGACCCGAACCUUGGUGAUCUAACCUUGACCAGGAUGAAGCGUGGGUAACACUACGUGGAGGUCCGAACCAACCGAUGUUGAAAAAUCGGUGGAUGAGUUGAGGUUAGGGGUGAAAUGCCAAUCGAACCAAGAGCUAGCUGGUUCUCCCCGAAAUGCGUUUAGGCACAGCGUUGGAUUUAUCUUGCAGGAGGUAGAGCACUGGUUUUGUGCGGGCGUCGAAAUGAUGUACCAAACAAUGUCAAACUCCGAAUACCUGUAAUGUCAUUAUCCAGCAGUGAGGCUAUGAGUGAUAAGAUCCAUGGCCAAGAGGGAAACAGCCCAGAACGCCAGUUAAGGUCCCUAAUAUAUGCUAAGUGGUUAAGGAGGUAGAGUUACUGAGACAACCAGGAGGUUGGCUUAGAAGCAGCCAUCCCUUGAAAGAGUGCGUAAUAGCUCACUGGUCAAGUGACUCCGCGCCGAAAAUACACCGGGACUAAAGCAUAUAACCGAAGCUGCGUCAUAUAGUUUACUAUAUGGGUAGGGGAGCGUACUGUAGUAAGACGAAGCUAGAGUGAAAACACUAGUGGAUGAGGCAGUAGUGAGAAUGUCGGCAUAAGUAGCGAAAACAUUGGUGAGAAUCCAAUGCACCGAAAACCUAAGGUUUCCCACGGCAGGCUCGUCCGCGUGGGGUUAGUCGGAUCCUAAGCUCAGGCCAAACGGCGUAGGCGAUGGACAAUAGGUUGAUAUUCCUAUACUAUCUGAUAAUCGUUAUCAGAAGCGGAGGGACGCAAGAGGAUAAGCACGCAGUCGACUGGAAGAGACUGUAUAAGCGUGUAGCUAGGUUUGACAGGAAAAUCCGUCAGAUCGUUAAUGUGAGGCGUGAUGUGGAGAGUCUACGGACUCGAAGGUGUUGACUCCAAAUUGCCAAGAAAAUCUUCGCUCUCGAGAUUAUUGGGUAUCCGUACCGUAAACCGCCACAGGUAGGUUGGUAGAAAAUACUAAGGUGCGCGAGACAACUCUCGCUAAGGAACUCGGCAAAAUCACCUCGUAACUUCGGGAGAAGAGGUACCCUGGUAGCGUGAAGCGAUUUACUCGUGAAGCGUGAUAGGGUCGCAGUGAAUAGGCCCAAGCGACUGUUUACCAAAAACACAGGUCUCUGCUAAGUCGAUCAAGACGAUGUAUAGGGGCUGACGCCUGCCCGGUGUCGGAAGGUUACGCGGAAAUGUUAGAAGCAAUUCAAAGCAUCGAAGCUAAGCCCCGAUGAACGGCGGCCGUAACUAUAACGGUCCUAAGGUAGCGAAAUUCCUUGUCAGGUA